RNAcentral lists this transfer RNA (71 nucleotides) under Rhodospirillales bacterium. Its description in RNAcentral is "tRNA-His". It matches the Rfam family "tRNA". Rfam says of the family: Transfer RNA (tRNA) molecules are approximately 80 nucleotides in length. Lineage: Bacteria; Pseudomonadati; Pseudomonadota; Alphaproteobacteria; Rhodospirillales. The record is from RNAcentral.
GUGGUGGUGUAGAUGUGAAUUCUAGAUUGUGGAUCUAGGGGUCGUGGGUUCAAGUCCCAUCAGCCACCCCA